This is a non-coding RNA of Symsagittifera roscoffensis, 87 nucleotides long. The record is from the annotation of a RefSeq genome assembly. NCBI's taxonomy places the organism in Eukaryota, Metazoa, Xenacoelomorpha, Acoela, Convolutidae.
GCAGAACAGCCAUGGCCGAGUGGUUAAGGCGUCUGACGAGAAAUCAGAUGUGAGCAUCACGCGCAGGUUCGAAUCUUGCUGUCUGCG